CCACUAGCUACAGAUGCUGGAGAAUUUGGGCUGGUUUCUUCUGCAUUUUAACAAUCCCUGGGGCUUUCUUUGGUUCUUUCUUUAUUUGAGUGAGGUUGAGAUCAUCUUUCUAUCAUGUCUCUGCAUUCAGUGAUAUCCAUAUUUAUCCAUGUUUGAAAAGACACAGACAUCAAUCUGGGUCUUACUCUGUCACGCAGGAUGGAGGCUGGAGUCCAAUGGCACAAUUGCAGCUCACUGCACCCUCAAACUCCUGGGCUCAAGGGGGCCUCCCAUCUUACCCUCCCGGAUAGCUGGGACUACAGGCGUGCACCAUCAUACCUGGCUAAUUUUUAGUAUUUUUUGUAGAGACGGGGUUUCUCCAUGUUGGCAAGGCUGGUCUUGAAAUCCUAGGUUCAAGCAAUUCUCCUGCCUCAGCCUCCCAAACUGUUGGGAUUACAGGUGUGAGCCACUGUGCCCAGCCUGCUGCUUUUUUAGAAAGAGGAGAGAAGGAUGGUCUAAAACUCCCAUUUUUUCUUGUCAUUCACCUGGCAACUCAGAGUCAGGAGGAAGAUGGGAGCUUUGAAGUGAGGUUCUGCUGCCCCACCCUGAGUUCCUCAGGGGUCACCUUCAUCUCACCCUUCCCAUUAGUUCCAAGUCCCCAGACUGAAGACAGCAGUUCCUGGAGUCAGUUCUCAAAAGAGUGAGUUCUCAAGGGAGAGGCCCAAAAAAAGGGAAUCAGAACCUGGAACACUUCUCCCCAUCCCUGUUCUGCCCCUCAUAGGAAUUAAACAAGAUGGAAAUGGGCAAUGCUUCUUACCCACUGGUGAUAAUAUGAGAUGCCACAGAAGAAAUGUUGGGGAUUUUUGGAGGCAAAAUUUGUUGGGUCUUCACUUUGUAAAAGUUGAUGGCAUCCCUAUUUUCAGACUGUUCUUGGAGACAGCACCAGGCUUGUCUACCUCAUACAGCUGUGAUGGUCACCUGGGGCUGAGAGAGAAGAGCUUGCUUUCAGCUGUUAAUGACAGCCAGCUUGGACUUCUUGAAGCUGAAGGGUCAGGCAGAGCUACGUAGUGGUAUUGCACACAUCAGCAUCUUCAGUUUCCUAAAAUCUAUCCUUACAAAAAAAGAGCGACUCAGCAGGGGCUCAACAUGUAAUAGAGUCCACUAAAGAACAUGUCUGAGGCUUGCAUUUUUCAGCCCUCUGUUUUUCCCCACCAUUCUACCUACCAGCCAUGGGCUAUAUAUAGUGCUUGGGGUUAUGCAGGUGCCAUAGGGUAAAAACCUUCCCACUCAGGUUCCAGGAAAAAAAAAAUGACAAGAAACUUUACAUGUCCCAAAUACGGAACUAGAGUUUGGGGGUCUAAGUUCAGAAGGGUAAGAAGUGAUCUCCAUGGCCCUAAAUAUUUUGGAAGGAAAUAGGCUUCUAGUUUCCCAAAAUCUCCUUUUAUUCCCAGUGUGGGUGAGGGAAGAGCACUGCUCUCAAUUCUUAGCUUAGCCUUUAGGAACAUGGACAGUCAGGUCAGCAGCCAGCUGCCCUUCCCCUCUCCAGAGCAGCAAGGAGUCCAGGACUCCAGCUCUGUUUCUGCAGACAGUGACAGGAGGCCAAAGGGCGGGCAGAGCAGGGGCAAGGUCUCAGCACACCCAGGGGUCGAUGGAGAACAAACAUAUCAUUAGGCUGAGAAAGGAGAGAAAGGAAAAAAAGAUCUCAAAGUGUGUUCAAGCAGUACUCAGCUCUUUGUUUAUCCACAAGAAGAACUGGAUUCCAAGUCAGGGACAUAAAAAUUAACCCAUGGCCUGGGUCACUUUGCCCCCACCUGCCACUCAUACCAAGGCAGCCCAGCUCUGAAAGCAUUGAAAGAUGACACGUUUUGCAGGAAACAGUGACUCUUUGGAUGUUAAAAAAAUCUAGCCGCUGCCCAGUGGACACAGUGUCAGGGAGCCUUAAGAAAGCUGGUGUUGGGGGUACUGCCAAGGAGGAUCAUCGAGUGGGCAUGACAAGCCCAAGAGUCAAGUGUCUUUACAGCAUCCAUGUCCCACAAGCCCAUAGCCUGGUGACCAUGGUCUUCAACCCACAAUUGGUGCUGUUGAUGCUGUCAAUGCAGAAUUGAAGACAGAGAACCAGAGAUUUUUAAGUCAGAAGCAUGCUUCAGAAGUUUUAGUUUGUAACUAUUGUUUAUUUCUGGAAAUCAUUUGGAAGAUAUUAUUUUACUUUUUGUCUCUCCCAAUUCCAAAUUGUUUGCAUUAUAAUUUUCUUUAAACCGGAAAAUAAAAUCAUAAUUUUAGAAAAGUGAAUCUUGUGUUUAAGAGGUGUCAAGUUUGUGCCCUUACCUUUCCUGUGCACCAGGAUAGUGAAUCCACAACAACCUCUCCUGCUGCACUUAUGGCCGAUAGCACCAAUCCUUCUCAGCCAACUUCCCUCCUGGAUCCUGUCAGGCAUUUUCUCAGCAAGCAUUCCAGAAAGCCAUGACUCACUUAUCAGCAUCAGUGCU
Molecule: long non-coding RNA, 2465 nt
Filed under: Homo sapiens (human)
Lineage: Eukaryota; Metazoa; Chordata; Mammalia; Primates; Hominidae
Description: HSALNT0346598
Source: RNAcentral